This 402-nucleotide ribosomal RNA is filed under the name Verrucomicrobiota bacterium. RNAcentral describes it as "Verrucomicrobia bacterium partial 16S ribosomal RNA". It matches the Rfam family "Bacterial small subunit ribosomal RNA", at positions 355 to 776 of the family's 1533-position model. The record is from RNAcentral. Lineage: Bacteria; Pseudomonadati; Verrucomicrobiota.
UGGGGAAUUUUGCUCAAUGGGGGAAACCCUGAUGCAGCGACGCCGCGUGAUUUAGAAGGCCUUCGGGUUGUAAAAAUCUUUUGUAUGGGAAGAAAAUGACAGUACCAUACGAAUAAGGACCGGCUAAUUACGUGCCAGCAGCCGCGGUAAUACGUAAGGUCCGAGCGUUGUCCGGAAUCAUUGGGCGUAAAGGGUACGUAGGCGGAUAAGCAAGUUAGAAGUGAAAUCCUAUAGCUCAACUAUAGUAAGCUUUUAAAACUGCUCAUCUUGAGGUAUGGAAGGGAAAGUGGAAUUCCUAGUGUAGCGGUGAAAUGCGCAGAUAUUAGGAGGAAUACCGGUGGCGAAGGCGACUUUCUGGCCAUAUACUGACGCUGAGGUACGAAAGCGUGGGUAGCAAACAGG